This 465-nucleotide ribosomal RNA is filed under the name Vreelandella stevensii. RNAcentral describes it as "partial 16S ribosomal RNA". It matches the Rfam family "Bacterial small subunit ribosomal RNA", at positions 338 to 795 of the family's 1533-position model. Lineage: Bacteria; Pseudomonadati; Pseudomonadota; Gammaproteobacteria; Oceanospirillales; Halomonadaceae. The record is from RNAcentral.
CCUACGGGGUGCAACAGUGGGGAAUAUUGGACAAUGGGCGAAAGCCUGAUCCAGCCAUGCCGCGUGUGUGAAGAAGGCCUUCGGGUUGUAAAGCACUUUCAGUGGGGAAGAAAGCCUUGGGGCUAAUACCCUCGAGGAAGGACAUCACCCACAGAAGAAGCACCGGCUAACUCCGUGCCAGCAGCCGCGGUAAUACGGAGGGUGCGAGCGUUAAUCGGAAUUACUGGGCGUAAAGCGCGCGUAGGCGGUCUGAUAAGCCGGUUGUGAAAGCCCCGGGCUCAACCUGGGAACGGCAUCCGGAACUGUCAGGCUAGAGUGCAGGAGAGGAAGGUAGAAUUCCCGGUGUAGCGGUGAAAUGCGUAGAGAUCGGGAGGAAUACCAGUGGCGAAGGCGGCCUUCUGGACUGACACUGACGCUGAGGUGCGAAAGCGUGGGUAGCAAACAGGAUUAGAUACCCGAGUAGUC